GUGUGUUCCAGGUAAAUCCGGUUCACUUUAACACUGAGGCGUGAUGACGAGGCACUACGGUGCUGAAGUAACAAAUGCCCUGCUUCCAGGAAAAGCCUCUAAGCAUCAGGUAACAUCAAAUCGUACCCCAAACCGACACAGGUGGUCAGGUAGAGAAUACCAAGGCGCUUGAGAGAACUCGGGUGAAGGAACUAGGCAAAAUGGUGCCGUAACUUCGGGAGAAGGCACGCUGACACGUAGGUGAAGUGAUUUACUCACGGAGCUGAAGUCAGUCGAAGAUACCAGCUGGCUGCAACUGUUUAUUAAAAACACAGCACUGUGCAAACACGAAAGUGGACGUAUACGGUGUGACGCCUGCCCGGUGCCGGAAGGUUAAUUGAUGGGGUCAGCGCAAGCGAAGCUCCUGAUCGAAGCCCCGGUAAACGGCGGCCGUAACUAUAACGGUCCUAAGGUAGCGAAAUUCCUUGUCGGGUAAGUUCCGACCUGCACGAAUGGCGUAAUGAUGGCCAGGCUGUCUCCACCCGAGACUCAGUGAAAUUGAACUCGCUGUGAAGAUGCAGUGUACCCGCGGCAAGACGGAAAGACCCCGUGAACCUUUACUAUAGCUUGACACUGAACAUUGAGCCUUGAUGUGUAGGAUAGGUGGGAGGCUUUGAAGUGUGGACGCCAGUCUGCAUGGAGCCGACCUUGAAAUACCACCCUUUAAUGUUUGAUGUUCUAACGUGGACCCGUUACCCGGGUUGCGGACAGUGUCUGGUGGGUAGUUUGACUGGGGCGGUCUCCUCCUAAAGAGUAACGGAGGAGCACGAAGGUUGGCUAAUCCUGGUCGGACAUCAGGAGGUUAGUGCAAUGGCAUAAGCCAGCUUGACUGCGAGCGUGACGGCGCGAGCAGGUGCGAAAGCAGGUCAUAGUGAUCCGGUGGUUCUGAAUGGAAGGGCCAUCGCUCAACGGAUAAAAGGUACUCCGGGGAUAACAGGCUGAUACCGCCCAAGAGUUCAUAUCGACGGCGGUGUUUGGCACCUCGAUGUCGGCUCAUCACAUCCUGGGGCUGAAGUAGGUCCCAAGGGUAUGGCUGUUCGCCAUUUAAAGUGGUACGCGAGCUGGGUUUAGAACGUCGUGAGACAGUUCGGUCCCUAUCUGCCGUGGGCGCUGGAGAACUGAGGGGGGCUGCUCCUAGUACGAGAGGACCGGAGUGGACGCAUCACUGGUGUUCGGGUUGUCAUGCCAAUGGCACUGCCCGGUAGCUAAAUGCGGAAGAGAUAAGUGCUGAAAGCAUCUAAGCACGAAACUUGCCCCGAGAUGAGUUCUCCCUGAGACUUUAGGUCUCCUGAAGGAACGUUGAAGACGACGACGUUGAUAGGCCGGGUGUGUAAGCGCAGCGAUGCGUUGAGCUAACCGGUACUAAUGAACCGUGAGGCUUAACCUUACAACGCCG
Molecule: ribosomal RNA, 1435 nt
Filed under: Salmonella enterica subsp. enterica serovar Berta
Lineage: Bacteria; Pseudomonadati; Pseudomonadota; Gammaproteobacteria; Enterobacterales; Enterobacteriaceae
Also listed under: 1 other name
Description: partial 23S ribosomal RNA
Rfam family: Bacterial large subunit ribosomal RNA
Source: RNAcentral